AUUGAACGCUGGCGGCAUGCUUUACACAUGCAAGUCGAACGGUAACAGGUUAAGCUGACGAGUGGCGAACGGGUGAGUAAUGCAUCGGAACGUGCCCGGUCGUGGGGGAUAACGCAGCGAAAGCUGCGCUAAUACCGCAUACGAUCUGAGGAUGAAAGCGGGGGACCGUAAGGCCUCGUUCGAUCGGAGCGGCCGAUGUCAGAUUAGGUAGUUGGUGGGGUAAAGGCUCACCAAGCCAACGAUCUGUAGCUGGUCGGAGAGGGCGACCAGCCACACUGGGACUGAGACACGGCCCAGACUCCUACGGGAGGCAGCAGUGGGGAAUUUUGGACAAUGGGCGAAAGCCUGAUCCAGCAAUGCCGCGUGCAGGAAGAAGGCCUUCGGGUUGUAAACUGCUUUUGUACGGAGCGAAAAGGUCUCCUCUAAUACAGGGGGCUCAUGACGGUACCGUAAGAAUAAGCACCGGCUAACUACGUGCCAGCCGCCGCCGUAA
Molecule: ribosomal RNA, 493 nt
Filed under: uncultured bacterium
Lineage: Bacteria
Description: partial 16S ribosomal RNA
Rfam family: Bacterial small subunit ribosomal RNA
Source: RNAcentral